UACGGAGGGUGCAAGCGUUAUCCGGAUUCACUGGGUUUAAAGGGUGCGUAGGUGGGUCUGUAAGUCAGUGGUGAAAUCCCCGAGCUUAACUUGGGAACUGCCAUUGAUACUAUAGCUCUUGAAUACUGUGGAGGUCAGCGGAAUAUGUCAUGUAGCGGUGAAAUGCUUAGAUAUGACAUAGAACACCGAUAGCGGAGGCAGCUUGCUACACAAUGAUUGACACUGAGGCACGAAAGCGUGGGGAUCAAACAGG
Molecule: ribosomal RNA, 253 nt
Filed under: uncultured bacterium
Lineage: Bacteria
Description: partial 16S ribosomal RNA
Rfam family: Bacterial small subunit ribosomal RNA
Source: RNAcentral